This is a long non-coding RNA of Harpegnathos saltator (Jerdon's jumping ant), 495 nucleotides long. RefSeq lists it as uncharacterized. NCBI's taxonomy places the organism in Eukaryota, Metazoa, Arthropoda, Insecta, Hymenoptera, Formicidae. The record is from RefSeq and is a predicted model, not a curated record. The transcript has 2 exons.
GGAUGAUCUAGCCAACUAAGGCAAGAUCGUAGGAUGAUCCGGCCAACUAAGGCAAGGUCGGGAGUUGUCCGGCCAACUAAGGCAAUACUGGAAAGUUUUAAUUAAUUGUUCAAAAUGUCCGCCAUCAACAGUUUGACAAUAAGCGAAUCUAUCGUAAAAAGAUGAAACGGCUUUUUGAAUGUAAUCAGCAGGAAUGAGAGCAGCUUCAUCAAGAAUUCGAUUUCGAAGUAAUCGUUAGGUGAUAAAUCGGGUGAUCGAGGAGGCUAUUCUAUAGGUCCUCUUCUACCUAUCCAUCGAUGAGGAAACACUGUCCAGAUAAUUACGGACGUCCCUUCCGUAAUGUGGGGGGGGGCACCAUCUUGUUGGAACUAUGUAUGCUCGAAGUUGUCAUCCAUGAUUGCUUGUAUCGCUGGAACUAUUUCGUUUCUUAUCAUAUUCUCAUAUUUUAUCGCUGUUAGAUUUCCGUCAAUAAAGAAUGGACUUAUGAGAACAUUA